AUUGCACGUGACGAUAAAACAGACAGGGACAUCAGAACUCCUUUCGGAGGAUGGUGAAUUGUCGAUGGGAAUCUCUCUGAUGCACU
Molecule: small nucleolar RNA, 86 nt
Organism: Malus domestica (apple)
Lineage: Eukaryota; Viridiplantae; Streptophyta; Magnoliopsida; Rosales; Rosaceae
Product: small nucleolar RNA R44/J54/Z268 family
Source: RefSeq, a predicted model, not a curated record